AUUGAACGCUGGCGGCAGGCCUAACACAUGCAAGUCGAACGCGUCGCACGCGGGAGAGUAAUGUCGGGAACACCGCCAUAUGGAGGGGGAUAACUACUGAAAACGGUCGCAAAUACCGCAUACCAUCGGAUGUCCCCAGAUGGGAUUGGCUAGUAGGUGGGGUAAAGGCUCACAUAGGCGACGAUCCCUAGCUGGUCUGAGAGGAUGAACAGCCACACUGGAACGGAGACACGGUCCAGACUCCUACGGGAGGCAGCAGUGGGGAAUAUUGCACAAUGGGCGCAAGCCUGAUGCAGCCAUGCCGCGUGUAUGAAGAAGGCCUUCGGGUUGUAAAGUACUUUCAGCGGGGAGGCGUUACCCGCAGAAGAAGCACCGGCUAACUCCGUGCCAGCAGCCGCGGUAAUAC
RNAcentral lists this ribosomal RNA (406 nucleotides) under uncultured bacterium. RNAcentral describes it as "partial 16S ribosomal RNA". It matches the Rfam family "Bacterial small subunit ribosomal RNA", at positions 30 to 526 of the family's 1533-position model. The record is from RNAcentral.